GGGGAAUAUUGCACAAUGGGGGAAACCCUGAUGCAGCGACGCCGCGUGAGCGAUGAAGUAUCUCGGUAUGUAAAGCUCUAUCAGCAGGGGAAGAAAGUGACAGUACCUGACUAAGAAGCCCCGGCUAACUAC
Molecule: ribosomal RNA, 132 nt
Filed under: uncultured bacterium
Lineage: Bacteria
Description: partial 16S ribosomal RNA
Rfam family: Bacterial small subunit ribosomal RNA
Source: RNAcentral